AGGAUACCCUUAGGCCUUAACAGAAUUUCAAAGGAAGGGGCAUUAGUAACUGCAGGGGCAUUAGUCAGAAUAAGGCUUCAAACUCUUGGAACCAUUGCAACAAGCGAACAGACAAGUCGAAAAGCAGGCGCAAAGUGACUACUACAAACACAUAGCAGCGUAAAGCUACUACUACAAAGCAAAGGCAAAGAGCUCGCUAACGCCGUUGCAGCUCACUAACGCCCGAGUUUAGUUACGCUAACGCCCUAAGCUUGUUGAGUUCUUUGACGUCGUGUCGUGCUAAUGCUUGUUUUCAAAUGAUUCUAGUUUUAGUUGACUUUCUUCUUUUAUUCUAGUGUGAAUUGACUUUCUUCUUUCAUUCUCUUAAGUUGGUUGACUUUAUUUCUCUUCUAUAUGUGUGUUCAGGCUGACUCGGGGAAAUAGGAAAAUCCAUGCCUAUAAAAGCGAGAAGAUCGCCUCUUUCCUUUUCCUACUGCUAAGUAUCCUGCAGACUAAACAAGCUUAGGCGAAGGAAAGGAAGAUAGCUAUCCACAACAUGAAUGGAGCUAUCCACUGAGAAUCAAGUCAAAAGACAGAACAAGAGGAACUCAUGGAGGCAUAAGAGAGCGCAAGAACAAGAGGAACUCAUAGAGGCAUAAGAGAGCGCAAGAACAAGAAUAACUCAUAUAUAUGGGUAUCCCUAUUUCCAAGAGGAUUAUUAGUGAGUAGAGCACCUAUAAAGGCAUAGAUUAACCUAACCUGACUGCUUCUUUCUAAACUUACUUAAUUGAACAGAGAAAAUAAGAGAGCGUGUAACAUAUAGAGAAUUGAUUAACUAACUUAUGACUUUAGUAACGGAAAGGAAUGAUUAUUGCUUCCUGAAAUCGUUCAUAUAUUGAUUGGAUUAGUAGAGUAGAGUAAGCAAUUACAUAAGAUGUUAGCAGUGUUUGUUUUGACGGGAGCUUAUAUAUGUGUAACGCUCUCCUCUUUUGCACUCCAUUCUUAUCGCCCCUCCAUAGAUAUGGUAUGAAGCGUUGGAACCCAUGCAAUAAGUGAAUAAAGGGAAGGGUUUAUUGUUGCUCAUCCAAUUCCGUCUAGUACUCUUCACAAACUCUCCCAAACUCCAAUGCUUGAGCAGUAUCAAGUUAGUGUAAUCACGGUAGCAAAGCAGUGAGUGUAAUCACGGUAGCAAAUCCAAGAUCAUCAUAUAUAGAAGCCGAAUCGAAGCAGUCUAAAACUCCUAACCUAAAAGAUAUACCUGAGCAGCACCUUUUUAUUACCUCGACACUCAUUUUAUUGCUUGGCCUGGUCUGGGCUACCGCUCGACUUCUGUGCCAGCUAAUGAGUCGUAUUCUGUGAUCCAGAUCUUGGAAACUUAACUAGAGCAGAAGAUCUUGGAGCUGACUUUCGCCUGUUAGCCGGGCACCUUAGCUUCAACCUACCUUUCUUUGUUUUCAACCUAAAACACUAUUAUGGGAAUAUUAAGACUACUAUAGAAUACAAUCCACUAUGUCUACCAAUAAGACCUUAGCUCGGUUUAACUCAAGACAGGGAAUGACAUUGCUGCCUACAAGACCGAAACUCGGAAUUCAAGAUAAGGUACUGAUCCUCUGAUAAAGAAUAUAACUAGCAAGUCAGAACUCAAGUACAGCUUUGCUGGCUAUCAGCCUACCCUUCCUCGCCUUAAGCCUACUUUUGCUCUCUCAAGGGAUCCAAAUAUAAUGAAUGCCUUCUGUUCACUUAGUUUAAUGAUUCCGUUCACUGAUAACUUCUAUUAGAAUUGCAGAAUAUAAGGACUAAGUCAAUCGAUAUAGAAGUAUGGAAUCGAACCCGCUCGGUGGAUCUGUAUCGUUAGUUAAAGAGUAGAAGACAUUCUCUUGUGUGCCAAUGCAAGGAUUCGGAUCGAUGUUUUAAGUCUGCUAAGUACUUGUUGGAUUACUUGGGUUGAGUUGCAUUCCAAUAGAUCCCCCAGAGGAGGGUCAAUCUAAUAGUUAGCAGCUGCACUCUAUAUGGCAGUAGUUGCAUUCCCACACUAACCAGCUCAAUUCCGAGUUUGGAGUGGGUGGCCCCUCUUUCUCUUAUGAGUCCUAUCAGUCCUUGCGAUCAACAGUUCUAUUCUUGUUAAGUGGUGAUUUCAGCCUUCAAAGCGGUAGUUCGAGCCUAAUAGCGGUAGGAACAAGUACAGUCCUUUGUCAGAGGAAUCAGACCCAGGUUUCCGUUUUCUAGUAAGGAGCGGAAGAGCUCAAUUAAGGAUCCGGACCAGGUUAGAUAAGUCAGUUUCAGGCUGAGGGAGAUAGUGAAGUCAGUCUGACCUUGUGGGUAGCAAUUCCCUGUUGGCAGUGAUUCCAAUCCGAUAUUGAGUAGUCAAAUUCCCUAUUAGGUAAUAGAUGGCGCUAGUGAAGUAUGAUUUCUUAGUGCAAGUCUCUUUGUGCGCUGAUUCAUUACCUGUUCCGAGUUGAGUUGUCCUGCACCGUUGUUAUUAUCAUAAUCAUAGGUGUGUUGUCGAGCAAGGAAAGGUAGCUUUAAGUGCAGUAGUGACAGGAUUAGGGUCGGCAGUACAGUAAAGGAAUCAAAGAGAUAGUAAGCUUGUUAUACAGUAGUCAAUUCCCAGUUCCUAGGUUUGUUAUGAGAAACACCGUUUGCAGUCUGUUAGGUAGUGGGCUCAUUUCCUAUUUAUGCGAAAGCGAUUAAGCGCACAGGGAGAAUAGCCUGUUUACCGGUAGUUCCAAUCUAUAUUAUGUAAGAUAAAGGGCAGUGUUGCAGAACUAAACCCGUGAACUAAACACUCUCCGGCAGGAUUAUAAGCCAUUCCCGCCCAAAACUACAGAAUUCAGGGAGGGAGUGGCAGACCAAUACAAGGUCAAGUCCAAAAGUCAGGAUAGUCAGCCUAGUGGUGGGGUUAAAAGGAAUGCCAGGAACAACACAGAGAAUAAAGCUGGGCUGUAUGAGAAUUUCAUAGCAGCUAACAGAUCUUAACUAGCAACUGGGAAUAGGAACACCGAUAGCAGCCUUAUUACUCGACUGGAGUUUAGGGACUGCCUCUACUGAAUCUAAGGGGGUUAAAUGCUCCACUUCGGUCUGUGAACUAGGCCGAGUAACACUCUUUUCGCUUCUAAGACUUUCUCCCUUAGUAUAGGGAAUCGAAUUACUGCCUCCAAGGCGGAACUGGCGCCUAACAAGGCUCUCAAUCCAUGCUAACAACCGAUCUGGGAACUUAAUAAUAAUAUUAGAGAUGAAGAGUUGAGUUCAAUAGCACAAGGGGAUCCACCAAGCAAGUAAUAGACCGUAGUAGGGAAUGGUACCUGUGAGGGCUAAGGGCCAUAGACGCACAGGAAUGCCCUUGGCAAUGAAGAGUUCCCCUAAGUAGUAUGGGAAUGACUCCUAGAUUUUAGUCCUAGCUGGAAUCCCAUCCCAGUUUGAAUGGAACUCAUUGGCAUAGGAAUGACUGAGGAAAGUAGGAAUGCCCGGGCAAGGUAAAAGAAUCAAGCUCAUAAGUAAGAACCUAAGUAGAAGAACCAACACCGAUAAGAAGCAAAAACAACGUCACUAGGGCUUCCGGUCUCAAACCUUGCUUUGAUUUAUUGUUGCCUCUAUCUACUUGCUCUAAGUCUCCAGAUCUAUGCUUUCUUUCCCUUAGAUACGAACCCAGGUCUAGUUUGGUUGUUGUUAUUACUCCGUGCUUGCUGUCUUCGGCGGUAGUGAGUUGGGCUCUACAGUACCUUAACCUUAGCCUAUAUCGCUUGCACCUAAAGCAGUCUUGUUCAUUUCAUUACGAAAUUGCUUAUUACAUUAUUUGAUAUGAUUAUAUAUUACAUUAUUUGAUAUGAUUAUAUAAUAUUGAUUAUUCUUUUCACGUAUGUAGUAUUGAUUGGUAUUUGAGAGUAUUUUAUUAGCGGAACUAGACUCAACAGAAGCAAGUUCUAUUUCCGUUUUUGUAUAAAAGAAGAUAUUUUCUAUUCUCAUUGAACAGAGGAGCUAUGGUGCCAGUGUGAAGUAAACAUCAUUAUCAUAUAUUAACUAAAUUAUGAUUAGUCAACCGCAUUCUUCUUAGUAUCGGUUAAACUCACGCUAUUGACUUUGAUUCCUCUUAUUGGCAAUAUCGGACUUACCCGCUUGCAACCGGACUACUAGAACGCAGGAGCUAAACUCGAAAGAUACACCCAUUAGAUUGAAAACACCGGUAGCAGGCCUUACUUUUGGUUAUAACUCUACCCUUUUGCUCUGUGGCUCAAUACUUAAGACUUAGGGUGGAAAGUCAGCCUAGUUGCCGGGAGAGUAGGGCUGGCAGUGUGCAUUUCGCCUUAAGGGAAGCCUUAGAAGCACUAGCCGCAGGCCUAUGGUUAGGUAGCUGAACUCUUCUUGGUAGUAGUGAAAGCCUUAUUAGUAUUAGUGGAUUUCCCUGUUAGUAGUACAGGUCUUGUUAGCCAGGUUUUCUAUCCUUAUGUGCCCGAGCUCAAUUACUGUUAGCAAAGGAAGAAGAUCUAGAUGUUAAAUAAGUCAGAUUUAGAUGCCAGCAAGAGAAACCUCUUUGUAAAAGAGACACCAUAGAGAGUAAGGGACAAUUCAUCCAGUGGAAGGAAGCGCAGGAAAGCCAGAUCUUACGCUCUUAGGAGAGGAGAGCAAGUUGACAAGGUAAAAUACAGCAAAAUAGUCAAUAGCGAAUCCACUUAAAGAAAACCAGCCUUCGCUCUAUCCUUAUUUUGGACUUAUAAUCCAUUAUAUUACUUAAAGAACAAACCCGCCUUUGCUCUAUCCUUAUUUGACUUAUAAUCCAUUAUAUAUUAUUCAAUUAGUGGAUUCAAAAGGGAUAAUUCCAUCAAAAAGGUGUAGUUUCCAUGAAUCAUAUGCCUGUUCUUGGCACGUCUCCCAACAAGCAAGGGACAAGAUCUUUUCGAAAAAAGAGGUCAAGAGAUUUCCCCCGAAUCAAAUAACGAUAAUGCGAAGGGGGCGAUGAAUCCAGAUUGUCAAUUGAGUUACCUACUUCUGCUACUUUUUGGUUAUUAGGUUUAUGGAUCGAUGUAGGGCGAUUCACUACAACUUCCAACUGUUGUCGGAGUUUGUGUCUUUACCUAUACCGAGACCUUCUGAUAGCAUGUGACUGAUCCAAAAGAUUAGACCUACCUUAUCAAGUAUUGCGUUCAUUUGAUAUUUCGGAUCGAAGAUUGUCAUUCUGCAAGUGCGAGAAAGGGGAACUCGCUAACGUAUUAAAAGCGCUAACUUUGUUUGUAAGUGGUAAAGAGCGGAAACCAGAGAAUCAUAAGUUGUAGUGCUGUAGCUCACUGAAAGAAACUACGGAAGGGAUCCAAUCUUGCUCGGACUUGGGCUGCCUCCUUACCAUUAAGAGUUGCUGUAUAUUCACUGAGGCUCCAUUGUCCACCAAGACUCUAGACACCGGCUUUCCAUCGAUGUGAGCUCUUCCGUAUAUAUGCCACAAAUGUGCUUGGUCAUUUCUUUCUGUUCUGGUAGCUUAUCAAAAGUGACUCGACUGGUUGAGGUCUCUUGAAGAGACUCCGUCUGACCGGUCGAACUUGCUCCCAUUACGGAUAUUAUCCUUUAGCAUGAGAGCCUUGGAUCGUAAUCAGGGUUGUGUCAGUAAUCAAAACCUUAGCGGAGUCCUUGCUCACCUCUGAUCUGUCUGUUGGCUCCAUACCUGAUUAAACCUCUGCAAUCUACUGAAACUAUAGGUUUGAUUCAACAUCCUCAUCCAGCAGAAAUGCAGAACUACAGGGCGUGUUGACUGGCGGUUUUGUUCUUUGAUGCUGUAGUUAGCUGUUUGAUGCGGAGAAAACGAGAGUUGUAACGCUGUGGACAUACGAUAGCUAUGUUUACUGAAAUAAGUAUUCAUUUUCAUACAUACAUAAGUCAAUCGUGGAGGAGAACCAAAGAGACUCCCAUAGGAUUGCUUCUGCUGCUGAUAAGAGGACCGGUGCUUUAGGUUAUUGAAACUAAGGCCACUGACUUAAAGAAUUUGAUGGAACCUAUUAGAUCUGUGAACGGGACGAUUUAUGGGCCCUGCACUUGAAAACUAACCACUGAUGCUAUAACUAGUACUGUUGUUGUUAGCCACACUGUGACAGUUGCUGUGAGAGUUGCGUGGCAGGGAGCACACUUGAAAGGAGAUAUACACUGGCGGUAUUCGAGAUCAAGGCGACUAACUCGAGAGGCACUGGCGUUACUUCUUAGGCUGGAGAAUGGCAUUUGGAUAUUAAGUCAUCCGGAACCUACCUAUCAGUACCAGUCGGUCAGGGGUUCCUUGUUUUGUAACGAGUAGUACCCUAGAUCCCAAAGGCUAUACCAAGCAGAAGAGGAAGGAAGAGGCCAACAAGAUCCAAGCUUUUGCAGUAGCCGCCCAGUUUCUUUUACGGACAUUAGCUGGGCCCCCAACAUAUUCCAGCUCUUGUCUUUUAAAUAAUAUAAAUAGAUAAACCGGGACUCCUGUAAGUGAAAUAUCAAACUAGUCAAAGAGAGCCGUGGUACCAAUCUAUUUGGAGAAUAUAUAGGAAAAAGAAAUCUUGUAUAAAGAGAAUAUAUGAUGGACAAAGAGAGUAGAAAUAUGGGAUAUGAGAUUGGAGUUCUAUAUAAACAAUGGAAAGGACUAUGGUGUGUUAGGCCCGCUAACUAUCAUUGGCCCCUAAAUACCGAUGUUAGGAUCUAUACUUGUUUGAGUGGAAUCUAGGCCACUCUAUUGAUUUAUGGCGCCCUACUAGAAAGACAUCUUAUGGUCAUCCCCAAAAGACGACUAUCUCAUAAGCGUUGGCCGGUAGACAUACCCUACUUGAAUAUCUUAGUUACCUGUCAAUAUGGGCAAGUUCUUACUGUUCCAGACACCUUACUAAUUACUAGAGUCAAGGUUUUCAAACCCUAUCAUAAAAAAGAGAUGUUCUCCUUUAGAAAUCCCACAUAGCCGAGCCAUAAACUAGUUCACUGAAUGCGCUAGGCUUUCAGCGCCUUGAAAUACAAAUAUACAGGGAAUCGACUCAAUCCCUAUACCAAUGGUUUGGAAUAACACUUGGUUUGGAAUAACACUUGGAUUUUGGAUCUCGCUUAUUACUCAUACGAAUUAUCGCGCCAUCUAGUGUUUUCUUUCCUCCCAACUAUUUCUAUUGUGGUGAUGGAAGGUGUGCUUGGAUGAAUUAAUAAAGGUUGAUAAAGGAAUUGCAGGAUUAUAUCGUAAGAGUCAGACUUUGAGAAAGCAUUGAAAACCUUUUGAUUGGAGUCUACCACUCUCUAUCACAAGCCUCUAAGCUGCCCGCCCUUGAUUCAGUUGCCUGCAAUAAUAAGGAAGAUCUGGACAAUAGACUUUUUGCCACCGGCGUGAAGGAAUGCACAUAGGGAAGGAAGUUGUAAGGCAAGAAAUGACCUUCCCAACGCAUCUUGUCUGGAGUUUAGAGAAACUAGACCACGUCCCGAAAGAGAGGAAGACAGAAGGCAUUCUAAAGCUGCUAUCGAUGCUAAAUCAUUAGGUUUGUUUGGUUGGGGGAUAAAUAGUAUCAUUCCGUAUGGGCCCCGCCCCUUGAUCAGUUUAUGGGUAAGAAGCCAAUUGUUCACUUUUCUUAUUAGCCCCGGAGACUUGGAAUUCUCUUUCGGGCAAGAAGCUUGAACAGGCCUAGAAGGGCAAGCGUUGAACAUAUAGAUUUCCCAUCAGCAACAGUAAAGUAAGGAUUCGUAGCACACCGUGAAAAGCCUUUAUAUGAGUAUUUCACUGCCAUCUAUCUUUCUUGGAACUCUUCCUUAAAGAAAUAGGUGGAUUGAAGAUGAAUGCACACCCCCACGGGACCUUCUUUGCUCUUUAGAAUAGUUAUACCACUAAGCCUUUCCACUUACCCCGGCCCGUAGUCUUAAAACCUCGUGCUACACACCUACUAUGGCUAUUGCUCUCGAGUGCUAGCUCUCUAUUCUUAAGUAAGGACCAGGACAGCUCCUUAUUCCAAAUGGGCAGUCUGAGGGAAAGGGAAGGUUCAAAGGACAAAAAACUCUUCUGAGGGAAAGGAAAGGUGCAAAGCUAAGGACAAACAAAAAGAGCCUAUUCUCAGGGAAAGGUGCUAAUGCUAAAAAGAGCCUAUUCUCAGGGAAAGGAGAAAAUCAUACCGCUGGGAAUCAAAUACACUUUCUUCCACUUCUGUAGCUGGUAGUUAUAGAAUCCCUUGCUACCAAUGUGUGGGAAUCCGGGUUGAAGUGGUUUGAUAUAAGUCUUCAGGAAGUCACUUAUCAGCUCCGGUGUUUUUUGAAGAAGUAGCAAAUUCAUAAUAGAAGGUCCCCAUUAAGAAUGAAUAAUCUCAGGUCUUCUUGCCCAUUAAGCGCUCUACCAUGAGCUCCCGCAGAGACGAAGUUAAGGUGAGAGGGAGCUGAGCUAUACUGAUGUUUUGGAGGGAAGGAAUAUGACUUAUUAACCGAUAACUGAAGUGCCCGAACUGAGACUCACUUUCCCGAUGGAAGCAAAGGGUCGAAACCAUUGAGUGAGACUAGUGGGAGAGUAGAGGUCUGUCUCUUGGGGUACGAGUAUUGUCUAGGUUUGGUUAUUGUGUUGCGCGUGUCUAAGUAAACAAGUAUAGAGUUUAGAGUGAGGAAGCAUCGGUGAUAUGAAAGAAAUGAGUUAGCAAGGAGUCGGGAGUGAGGAAGCAUCGGUGAUAUGAAAGAAAUGAGUUAGCAAUAGUUGGGUAAUAGCUGGAAGCAGUUUUAGAGCUUAUAGGUGCAGCUCCCGACGAUUACGAAGAAAGCACUCUCAAUCAGGGCUCAGGUUCUCUGUUUAGGGAGUUUGUUGAGUUCGAGCUCAGGUCUGUCUCUUUGUUGGGAGUGAGAGUGAAAGCAUCAGCUGGAGAAAAUGCAGUUCUAAAGUAAUAAAGAGUGGAAUCCUAUAAGGAAGCAGUGCCAUUGAAGUCUACACUACAACAUCAGAUGCUUUACUAAAGGAAGCAGCAAGGCAUUGUAUAGAAUAUGGAGCUGGAUCUUAAACCGAAGAAGAGAAUGCCCAAGAAGAGGUGAAGUUGUCAAAAGUCAGAGGGCGUUAGCAAUUAACGUUCUUGUUUUUCAUCCUUAGUUUCAUCUGUGAAAUCUACUAGAUCAGAUGCUAUUACAGGCUUUGAUGCCCUAUAGCCCUAAGUGAAUGAGUUCUUGUGCGAGUGAAAUCAUCAGCCGAAGAGUGAAAGUAGACCAGAGAAGCUAGAUCGGGAUCGGGAUCUUCAGUGGAAUUCUUUGACCCUUAUUUAUAUUAGAAUUGAUGUCAUAUUAUUAUUUAUGUUAUAGCCACCAACUCUAUAUACUGCGCCCCUGAUUUAGAGUACAAGGCGGGCACUCCUAUUUCUCGUCUACUAACCUAUUUCAAUGACUCUUAUGGGACUAUAAAGUAGGAAGAGCGCAAAGAAGAGGACCUGUUUCAUUGUAGACAGAAUGCUUAGCCCACGGUGAAGAUACUGUUUCAAAAGUGAUCAAUUAAGUCAGCGAGGAGAGCCCAUAUAGAAUAACUAAGUAAUCAAGAAGAGCAAGAGCCGAGAGAAGAUGUUUUAGAAAGCUGGGGCACUCUUCAAUGAUUACUGGCGCGGGUAAGGAAUAAAGGGAAUCAAGAUCAUAAGCAAGCAGUAGCUUUACUCUUUUAUAUAACAGGUGUGGUGAUGGAAAUACAUCAUUCAAUUCAGAACUUCAAGGUGGAGGUCGGGAAUAGGUCAUCAAUCAAAGUAGUCUAAAUUCAUGGCAGUUUCUUACUUAUUUGUGGAAUUCUGAGGUUUCCAUUGCAAACAAUAAUAUUGACUGUGCAAUAUCAAGGUAAGGGUGGGUUAAUUCCUUCUGUAGCGGUAAGGGUAAGUAGGUCUGAGUAUUGAGGAGACUGAACAGAAUAAGGGUAUUUCGCUGAGAGAGAGAGGUGCUCUUUGCUUUACCUUGAGCCCUGCCCUUUCCUCAAUGGGAUAAAGUGUGUGGUCCAAGAACGAGGCAUCGGAAUAACAUAGUGCAGAAUUGUCCAUCUAUUAAUAGAAUAAUCCAUUCUAUGGUUCUAUUCCACAUAACCAAGAGAGGAUUGGGUUACUCGAAGUGAAAAGGAUCAUUCCAGAAUCUAAGGUCGAUUUGCUUUAUAAGAGAAAGAGAGAAAUUGACUUCUCUUAAUAGGUUUAACGGGAUUCAGCCAAUUGUCUCGAUCAUGGAAUAUCAUUGAGAAAUAGGAAUCCGGGGUGUUAUCAAAGACGAGAUGAUAUUAUAUGAUAGUAUAGAAGAAGUCAAUCAUCCACUUUUAUAUCUUUGAAGUCGUAAAUCAUCUACUUUGGUAUCCUUUUGAACUGUUCCUCCAUUGAUCAAGAAUAUAGGUCUUAGGGAAGAGUAUAAUAAUCAUCCAAUAAGAAGGGUUUCAAUAUACUUAUGAUUUUCACACCUAUUGAUUCUAACUACUGAUUGCAGAGUGGAUCAUUCGGACCUUAAAAUUCAUAUAUGUGGAUCUCGGACCUAUAAAUAGGGAUAUUCCUGAGACUCACCUAUAAAUAGGGAGAUUAUUGAGACUCACCUAUAAAUAGGGAGAUUCCUGAGACUCACAAAGAAAAGGGGAAGUGACUUGUACAAAAAGAAACGAAGUGACUUUGACUUGUUUGUCCAUAGCCUAAAGCAAGACCAAUCAAUCAAAUAGAGAUUAGUAACCGAUUGAACACUACAUGAAAGGAGUUCCUCUGUUCAGAAACUUUAUGAUGUGCAAAAUGCUCCUGGGCUCUCAUUGGACCAUUAGUAUCUAUAGAAGUAAGGAUGUAUCCAUAUAAGUAAGGAUCCCGAUUCAAGGUUCUCUCGGCUAAAUAUAUAUGCGCUCUCUCGGUAAGGAUCCCGAUUCAAGGAUCUCUCGGUGAAAUGGGUAUAUGCGCUCUGCUCUCUCGGCGAAAUUGGGAUAUAUGCGCUCUCUCGUUUCGAUAAAUGGAUGGAUUUUCGUUCAAGAAUGACAUAUUAUGGGAACUUUCCAUAUCCGGUUCAUCCUUCGGAACCAUAUCACAUCCCGGAUCUUAUGAAAUAGGAUGAAUAUGACGGAAGGUAUUUAGGAAAUACGUAAUUAUCAAUAAUAUAUAUAUAUAUAGUUUCUUUCUGGAUUUCUUUUCCGAUCGCCAGGAAGGUACAAAAGAAGGAAGGAUCAUGUUUUUUCUUAGAAAUGAGAUGAUCUCUAGUAGACCUAUCAAUAGGAUUCGAACCCACCACCAUCUGUCAGAGAAAUUGAUCUUGUGUAGGAUUCCCAAUAAAGCACAUUCUUCUAAUUCUGCCGGAAGCUGAUUAUCAUUCAUCUGCUUCUCAUGAUCUGUGAAUAGCCGUGACAUUGAGGAAGAUCCCCAAAUCAAGGCAUUUCGGCAAUCGAUCUUAUUCUAUCUCUCUUCGUUCCGUUUGCGGAAAGGAAGGAUCCCAUAGAAUCGAUCCUUCUUGUUUGUUGCUGAAUCUCUGGUUGAUCGAUCAAUGUAGGAGAUAUUUCAUCAAAUAGAGAUAGAUCCAUAUUCUAAAGGAAGAAGAUCUAUGGUCAGAAGAUCCUUUCUAUUGGCUAUCAUCCCUUACUUUAACUAAAAUAGAUAUGGUGGGGAUUCAUAUAGCAUAAUUGACAAUACAAAUUCCCCUUACCUUGCUCAAAAACCGAUCCUUGUUUACCAACCACACAUUGUCUAACCUAAUCCAAUUCUCUCUCGAUAAACCUUCCUCAAAAAAUCCUAUUCUCGUGCCACCCAACUAACGAAGAGAUCUUGGCGGAAUUGCCACAUAUGAAAUCUAGCUAAAUUGGGCAAUGAUAUACCCUACUUGUUUCUCGAUAAGAGAUAGAUAGGAAACAUGCUCAAUAUAUCAUUUGAUUGAAUAGUUGUCUCAGCUCCUUGUUGUUUGAAGAAACCCUCCCCUGAAAUUGGUCUUUUUAACGAAAAGCAGACAUGAGAUAACAAAUCCAGUCUGACCCCAUAAUUCUAAUAGCUGUCCCGAAUUCCAGUUGAUUAUGUUUAGAUUCUUCCUCGGAGAUACACGAUCAAACAAUUCCCAAUCAUGGGCCUUGUGGAUCAGUAGUAAUAUAGGAUACAAAAAACAAACUCUAUAGAUAUUCGCUAUCAGAGAUAUUCGCUAUCUGUCUCUUUGCUUGAGAUCGAAAUUCCAGCUAUGGUUUCAUUAUCUAUCUUACAACCAACAAAAAUGCCUUCCCUUUUAUCUAUCUUACAACCAACUAGAAUCCCUUCCCUUUUGAGAAUCCGGUUCCUCCACCACCGCGAACACAGGUUAGAUGAGGGGCAUGAGACACUUUUGCUUUAUUUGGAGAACUCAAGUACUCUCUAGCGGAUCCAUGAAACAACUCUAAGAAGGCCCCUAAAGUACUAGUAUAGCGGAUCCAAGAAACAACUCUAACUCUGAAGUGAAGGAAGGAUUAUUCCCUGAAGUGCUCUGCUCUCUUGCAGAUCCAUGAAACAACACUAAGAAGGAUUAUUCCCUGAAGUGCUCUGCUCUCUUGCAGAUCCAUGAAGAACUCUCUUUGGAAGAUAGAGGAGCGAAAGAAUCAACCUAUUUCAUAAAGGAAGACAAAGAAGAUGAAUCCAAUGUCUCAUUUCUGGGUCCAAUGUCAAUUCCAUAGUAUAGGAAGAAGCCCCAUAAAAUGGAGAUUAUGUCUUUCGCCCAUAUAGUUUAUUGUUCAUAUUGUUAUAUUCGACCAUAUAGUCUAUUGUUCAUAUUGUUCUCUAAAGACCGCUACUACAAGCAAGCAGUACUACACGCUUUUCUCGUGAAAUCUCGAUUGCUUGUUUCACCCUGCAAAUCACGUUGGGAUACUCCAAAUUCUGGGGUCGUUUCAUAAAGGGUGCUCUUGAUGGAAAAAGUGAGUGAAAGAUCCUACUUCAUUUCAUUUUAUACAGUAAUCUAAGAAUUAGUGAAGUUCGAAUUAUCCAUUGAUAUCUCUCUCUCUCAAUUCGCCUUUAGAUCUCAAUGGCUCGACUUGGAAAGAAGCCUUCUUGCCAAUAACCUUAACCUUUCUUUUUGACUGCUAAAGUGUAUUCUCCUGGUGCAACUGAAACAAGAACAUCGGAUUCUUUUCUUUAAGUCCUAGAGCAGAGCUACGGAAACGAGUUGUACUGAAUACGAGUGGAGUUGAGUUCGAUCAAAAGAACAACUAGUAGAAGAUAUAGAUACGGACAGGUAGAAUAUGACUCCCUUAUAAACACUAUGGAGUUUAGUCUUUCAUUGAUGCUAGUUAGCGAGGCGUCUAGUAGUUGCUUGGCGCUUGCCGUCUUGUCUAGUAGUAGCUUGGUCAUUAGUUGUGUCUUGUUUGUCGUCUUGUCUACUUGUCUGCUUGCCUGGAUUUAGCGGAUCUUUCCAAAAGUAAUGAAUGCAAAUCAAAACCAUCUUAUGGAGAAGCUUCACGACCGGUAGGUCUUCUUAAGAGACAUUUGGCGAUAAGCUUGUGCCUGUCUGUUUGUUUGGAGAGAUCAUCAGAAAAAGGUAUGUCGUCCCCGAUACAUAAAAAACGAAGCCAGAGCCACUCCCGUAUAAGGAGCGAGGUAUUGUAAUGUAGCUAGUGAAUCCGCCGUUUCGUUUCGGCUACCACAAUAGAAAGUAUAUUCCAUUGCGCCCAUAUUUCCCGUAAAGUAGUAACUACCUGAGCCACAGAGGAUGCUUUUUUACCAAUUGACUACAUAAACUCAUAUGACCUUUUUGUGACCUUUAUGAUUGAUAAGAGUAUAUGUGGCUACGGCUGUUUUACCGGUCUGUCUGUCCCCAAUAAUGAAUUCUCGCAAACCACGUCCUAUAGUUAUCAUCGAAUCAAUAGGAAUAAGCCCUGUUCCUUUUGAAGAGGCUCAUAUACUAAUAAUAAGUGUAUAAAUCAGCAUACCUGGGGCAGGGUAGAUUCCAUUCACCGAGAUUAUAAGAAGCUUCAAUUGCAUCUAUACCAUCAAUAGGUUUUCUCCAGAGCAUGUGGAACACGACCCCCAAAACCCUCACUCACUGUCAUUGGUAUUUGAUCGUCUUCUUGCUUUUCAUGACUUUCCCCAUUAGAUCAUCAUCACCUACCUUAGAAUCAAACUGUUCCGUUCUAAGGGAUCCGCCAACAUUAUUGGAUUCCAAAUUCUGAGCAAUGCCUAUUGUACACACUCUCUUCAAACUAAACUAAUGAACCUGUCAUUACAGAAUCAAGACCUUGACUUGCUCAUAACUCUCGGAUACGGGAAUUGCUCAUAUCUAAGGCAGCAACUCAACUUGGAAUCCAUUGGUACUGGCUCGGUUGCCUUUGUAGUAGUGUUUUGUCGGCUUGUGGGACUUGAAACUGGAUAUUUCACUCGAGCGGAACCUCUCUAACCCGCCUAUCUAUAUCUAAUAGGAAUGCACCUACACUUAAGAACUCCCUUACGCGCACUGAGUCUUGUUCCGAACCCCAACUACUGAAUUUAUAUAUCUCGCCUCGAGGUUAACUCGCUAACUUGAAGAACCGAACGAAACUGAACUUCCCGCAUCUGAUCUGUAUCCUUAUUCUGAUCCAGCAUUAAGGUGUGCUGUGAGAUUGAACCGGUUAUCUACCUCUGGCUUUUUCCCUAAAGCUUUCAAACGAAAAGGUUAUUUCCCAUGGGUUGAUACCUUACUUUAGCCUUAAGCACUUACUCCGGUGGGCUUCGAUUCGAGAGUGGAGUCAAACAGGAAAACUGUCAUUUCAUCUAUCGCAGAAGCAGAACAUGGAAUUGAUCUUGCAGCUGACCUCUUUGCUCCUUACUCCCUAAUAGAAUCAAGUAAAUACACUAAUUCCUUUGCUUUUGAAUAAACGUAGCCAAGAACCUAUCUUGUAUAUUUUGACAUAGUCUCUCUCUCUCGUUGCAAACACGGAUUCCACUCCGAACACUAAGCGCUUCCUUGCCUGUGAGAUAUGAUGAUUUUGCCCCUGAAACAAUACCACCAGCUACUGCGGGACAAUAAGUGUCAUUUCCCGCCCUUAAGAAGAGAGUAUCUGUGAGUGCUAGUUGAGUAUAGUAGUAAGCGUUCUCCUAUAAUAAGAGAAGAUCGAAUUGAUUUAGUAGUAGCGGCGUGAACAUGGCUAGUUGCUAGUAUAGUUGUAGCUUGGUCGGCUCCCGAAAACAGGAACAGCGGAUUCUUAGGUCUACUCUCCUUCUGAUGCUUCAUCUACGGAUCUCGUAUACUUAACUGGCACUGAAAGAGACUAAGUGGAGUUACCAACAAGAGGUCGACCACUCCAAGGCAAGGAUCAAGGGGAAUAUCCAUUUGGCCACCGCAUCAGACAUCAUGAGAACAUGUUAUUACUGUAACAAUAUUAAUAUGUAGGCUUAGUGUACUGUUGAGUGAAUUAGCAAGGCAGGUACAGCAGUACGAAGAUUGGAUUUGCAAACUCUAGAAGGGAGACUAUAUACUAUAAGUUCUAUCUUCCGGCCGUCAAAAGUCUAUUUAUGCCUAAGAUAUAUGGGAAGACUGUGUUGGCUAGCAAUAAUGAUAUUCGUGAUGUUUCUGGUUCAUUGCUAAGUUUGAAGGAGAAGUUGCAUCUCGCUUCUUUCUCUUUGUAAUGAAUUGGGGGCUGCAAAAUCUCCUGUAAUUUGAUUCCUUUUCUGAAUUGAGGUUCUGUGUUCAUCGUUGAAUUCGCCUGUGCAGUAGCUUUAUAAGUAUAGUACUUUAGUACAGUGCAGGAUUAUAUGCGUAGCAAUACAAUUUCAAGUAGAAACCUAGGUAAGGAACAGCUUGAUCUACGGAAGUGCACCUCUCUUCAGCUUAUGGAUCUCCACUUAACCUUGUGCUCUCCUUCCUGGUAGGAGAGUCUGACCUCAAACAACAGAGAGCAACCCAUGCGCCUCCUUUCUCUUCUGAAAAUAAGGAAUUAGCCCUAUUGAGCGCAGAAGCAUCAGAUCUUAGAACUCCGUAAGCAUCAAGGAAAACUGUAAUGGAUUAUCAAACACCUGGCAUAGAAAUCAAUAAAUACCCCGACCCCUAAAACGUGACUUAUUCUUAACUACAUACUUGACUUACGCUACACGGUUUUCAGAAUAGAAGGUAGGCCACCAACCCCUGGAAAGUGAUAAGUUUGCCCCGUUACUUGCUCUUUUCUGAAUGGAAUUUAGGCAGCUGAACCCUACCCAAAAGUACUUGACCCCCAUGAUCCUUAUUUUGAUCCUUCCACUUAUGAAGCUGAAGAGGUAAGCGUUAGUGAGUUUGAGUCUUGCAUAGAAAUAUUGGUAAUUAGAUAGGGAAUUGGCUUUCCCGAGUAUACGAGUUCUGUUCGCCUAGCGCGCUAACGGAGUUUACAGCACCCAAUAGAUACGACAACACAAGCCCUUGUAUGUUCUCUAAACUUUAAUAACUCAGUAGAAACCUACCCUAUUAGAUGUUUUCGGCAGCCAAAGGGGCACCUACUCAGACAAAGCGAGUGAACGAUUGGAUGGUCCGGGAGAGAAGAUAGAAAUCCAUUCUUUUAUUAAAGAAAGACAAUAGGUAGUUGCUGUUGAUGAAUCCACCCUUGGAAGUCUCCUGGAUUACACUGGUAGUUCCAUCCCGGUCUCCUUUGGCAAGAGUGUCCUUUAUUAUGUCUGCCUUUAUUGGCAAGAGUGUCCUUUAUUAUGUCUGCCUUUAUUAGUAGGAGAGGUAGUUAGAUAGGUCGGCUCGCAAGAAGGGGUGGGGCGUCGUCUAAGUUUGUCAUAACAAAAAGACACAGGGGAGUUACGAUCUUGCAAUUAUUCCUGAGGAUGUGGGGAGCCAUUAGCUAUGCAAUGGUUAGGAGGCAGAUUGGAUCAAAGCAAUUCAGAACUUCUGCAGAUUGGAUCAAAGCAAUUCAGAACUUCUGGUAUGGGCCUGCGAGCAUCUAGUUAAAGAGGACCUGGCUGAUAGCCCGUCUAAGGGAUUUCCCCUUCUCGUCGAACGUUGGUAGUGCUACAAAAGACAAGACGAGAGGAGCCGGCAAACAUCUUGUAUGACGGGUUCCUGCUUGGAUUUUCGGAGGCACUUUGGGACCUUGAACGAGACCGACUCACACAUCUUCAUGGCUAGAUCGAUUUACCAUAUGAGUUGUUAGGAUUCUUUAUUCGAGCGUCGCUAAUACGCCUAGUCGCAUAUCCUAAAGAAAAAACGAUUGGAGAGCCUACUGUUCUCACUGGCACCAUUGGGCGGGGUAUUAUGAAUGAGAAACUUUUCUUCCUUCCAUUCUAUGAAUCACCUGUAUCAACAAGGCUUCAUAAAGAAACGGAAUACUCAGCACUCACUCAUCUAUCUGAUGACGAUAUCCUUAUUAUUGGUAUGAGGGGAGACUUGCAAAUCUUCGAGUGUUACCCAGCCUCUUUCCUUAGACCUAGCUACGUGUUACCCAGCCUCUUUCCUUAGACCUAGCUACCAAGAAGGGAAAGCGAACCACAGAGAAAGUCAAGCCGGAUCUUAAGGAUCUUACAUUGCCGGGAAAGAGCCACUUUGAGUAGUUUGGCAACUUGACCAAUCAAAGGAGCAAACCGUUUUCCAUUCUUUUCUUACGCCUUAAUUGUUGGGUUUCGUAGUUUCCGUAGAACUUAUUAAACUCAAUAUAUACAAAGUCGUUUUGAUCAAGCUCAGCUUUGAACAGAAACAGAAGGGAAGGAACUAUAUGGGAUUUGUUGGGCGUAGAGACCCUCUUGCUUGCUAAUUAUCUAUUCUAUGAUGUCAUUUCUUGGAUCAGUAAGAAUAUAGUUAAGAGAUGUUCGAUUUGUAUCAGUAAGAAAUAGGUUAAGAGAUGUUCGAUCUCGCUUCUAUGCUGUGACACCUUAUAGCUGCUAAUUGAAUUGGAACCUAUGCUACCUACGGGCACACCAAACUAAGGGCUCAAGGGUAAACCAAAGAUCAGUACUAUAAGGUAACGGCACCACAAGGUGCGGAUGAAGAUCGAUAUGGUUCACCAACUUACUCCUGAUCGGAUUCUAGAGAUUACCUUUCCAUAGACCUUACUUAUUGUUGGAAAAAGACCUCAUUCCAUCCAUUAAGUAGACAAUAAAACAAUCUUUCCCAUUGAGACCCUGACUGAUAAGGAAUCUCCCCUUUCUGGUUCAAGAGGUUACUUACCUGUUGGAAAGGUCUAGUCGGAUCUACUUAAGCUUUCGAAUUGCUCCUCUAGUAGGAGAGAGUCAUAGGUGUAAGGUUCGGCACUUAUAGUAGUAGUGAGUCAGCUUAUAGUAGUGAGUCAGCUUAUAGGUUCCUAUUCAUAUCAUCAUAUGCUCGGUACAUUCCAUUCAACAAACAAGAGUCCGGGUAAACAGUACAGGUUCGGGGAAGUUCUGUGUUUGAGGGAAAGGAAUUGUUAUGACUAGUUAGAAUAUAUCUAUGUUGUUGGUGUCGCGGCAGGGCCGCUCAUGUUUUAGGCUGAAACACUACCUUUAGAAGUAGGGCCCGACACUAAACUAGGAAUUUGAUUAGUCAGAAUAUACCUCGGUAGCACAAAAGAGAAACUAGUAAGCAAAGAGCACGCCUACUACUGAUAGGACUUUCACUGGGGAGACAGGGAAUCACUCCUUCUUGCCCAACCCCCGAACUCCUUCUUGCCACCCGCAGCCUCCCUCUUUAAAGGAUCUAGUAGUUGCAUUCAUUCAAUUAUUAGUAAUUCAUUCCAUUAUUUGUAUAGUUGCAUUCAUUCUAUUCAGCCUAUUAUGAUUUGAUUACUUGACUCUCACCUUACUGUAGUUGCUCAAGCAGUUUCAAGCAGGGUGUCAACAUCCAUUAUUCUAGGAAAACAAGCAAGAAGGUAAGAGCGAGGUCGACAAGAGAAGAAGUCGUUUCCAAAUCAGUAGUAGGAACAACUUAAUUAGUAGGAACAGGCGAGGAAG
Molecule: long non-coding RNA, 18716 nt
Filed under: Musa acuminata (dwarf banana)
Lineage: Eukaryota; Viridiplantae; Streptophyta; Magnoliopsida; Zingiberales; Musaceae
Description: long non-coding RNA (MACU_LNC010915)
Source: RNAcentral